GAUGAACGCUAGCGACUGGCUUAACACAUGCAAGUCGAGGGGCAGCAUGAUUUGUAGCAAUACAGAUUGAUGGCGACCGGCGCACGGGUGAGUAACGCGUAUGCAACUUACCUAUCAGAGGGGGAUAGCCCGGCGAAAGUCGGAUUAAUACCCCAUAAAACAGGGGUCCCGCAUGGGAAUAUUUGUUAAAGAUUCAUCGCUGAUAGAUAGGCAUGCGUUCCAUUAGGCAGUUGGCGGGGUAACGGCCCACCAAACCGACGAUGGAUAGGGGUUCUGAGAGGAAGGUCCCCCACAUUGGUACUGAGACACGGACCAAACUCCUACGGGAGGCAGCAGUGAGGAAUAUUGGUCAAUGGCCGAGAGGCUGAACCAGCCAAGUCGCGUGAAGGAAGAAGGAUCUAUGGUUUGUAAACUUCUUUUAUAGGGGAAUAAAGUGGAGGACGUGUCCUUUUUUGUAUGUACCCUAUGAAUAAGCAUCGGCUAACUCCGUGCCAGCAGCCGCGGUAAUACGGAGGAUGCGAGCGUUAUCCGGAUUUAUUGGGUUUAAAGGGUGCGUAGGUGGUGAUUUAAGUCAGCGGUGAAAGUUUGUGGCUCAACCAUAAAAUUGCCGUUGAAACUGGGUUACUUGAGUGUGUUUGAGGUAGGCGGAAUGCGUGGUGUAGCGGUGAAAUGCAUAGACAUCACGCAGAACUCCGAUUGCGAAGGCAGCUUACUAAACCAUAACUGACACUGAAGCACGAAAGCGUGGGGAUCAAACAGG
Molecule: ribosomal RNA, 760 nt
Filed under: uncultured bacterium
Lineage: Bacteria
Description: bacterial SSU rRNA
Rfam family: Bacterial small subunit ribosomal RNA
Source: RNAcentral